This is a non-coding RNA of Pogona vitticeps (central bearded dragon), 399 nucleotides long. Lineage: Eukaryota; Metazoa; Chordata; Lepidosauria; Squamata; Agamidae. The record is from RefSeq and is a predicted model, not a curated record.
CCUUUGCCACCAUUCCACCUCAAACACACCUGAUCUCAUCUGAUUUCAGAACCCAAGCAAGAUCAAGCCCAGUUAGUCCUGUAAGGAGAACCCAUAAAAGAAUGCCAGUGGACUUCAGGAAGGAAAUAAUUCUCCUCACGAUCAAAGUUGGCAAUACAGGACAAAAUGCAGAUACUUAGCCAGGCUGAGAGGGUAGCCACAAUCCAAAAGCCACAAACCAGUUACUUAUGGAGGACCAAACCAUACGCAGCAUCACGUCAAGCCAGUUCUUUGGAUCCAACCCAAUGAGAAGCUCUUUGGCAAUAAUCAUGGUCUUUGAUAUCCCUUGCUGAGCAGCAGUGCUGCUAGAAAUAAUGGGCAAUCCUAUGAGAGCAAUACUCCCCACUGCUUGUUUUAUGG